AGGAGAAUGGCAUAGUGGUUUGAGUGUUGGACUAUGACUCUGAAGACCAGGGUUCAAUUCCCCGCUUGGCAG
RNAcentral lists this transfer RNA (72 nucleotides) under Phrynosoma platyrhinos (Desert horned lizard). RNAcentral's name for it is "tRNA-OTHER". The record is from RNAcentral. Lineage: Eukaryota; Metazoa; Chordata; Lepidosauria; Squamata; Phrynosomatidae.